Non-coding RNA from Oryza sativa Japonica Group (Japanese rice), 394 nucleotides. NCBI's taxonomy places the organism in Eukaryota, Viridiplantae, Streptophyta, Magnoliopsida, Poales, Poaceae. The record is from RefSeq and is a predicted model, not a curated record.
UUUCGCAUACUCCCUCUACCUGCCGGAAUGUGGUAAAAUUCAAAGGGCAGGAUAUUGUGUUUUGACUUCACGCAUGCACCAUGCUUGACGAUGAGGAAGUCUGUGUGCUAUUGCGAAAGUUCUCGUUUUAACCUACAUCAUGGAGCAUUGGAAUGGGAGGCAUCCAAAUGCGAUUCUGCAGCACAGAAGAUUGGGACUGAAGGAGUACAAAACUAAGGCGUUAACGGGCUAUCAACUGCCGUGGCUUUAAUGCCUAGACACUCUAUGUGACAGAAGAUAUCUGUGUCUAAUCUUGAAUGAUACAUCUGAUGCGCAAGAUUCAGUCUUCACCUCACAAUAUUUGGAGAUAUGAAUUUUGACUUGUUCCACUUUGCUUUGCUUUUAUGUUUGCCAA